Molecule: unclassified non-coding RNA, 494 nt
Filed under: Epicoccum sorghinum
Lineage: Eukaryota; Fungi; Ascomycota; Dothideomycetes; Pleosporales; Didymellaceae
Description: sequence contains ITS1, 5.8S rRNA gene, ITS2
Rfam family: 5.8S ribosomal RNA (bases 140-293)
Source: RNAcentral
UAGAGUUGUAGGCUUUGCCUGCUAUCUCUUACCCAUGUCUUUUGAGUACCUUACGUUUCCUCGGUGGGUUCGCCCACCGAUUGGACAAAUUUAAACCCUUUGCAGUUGAAAUCAGCGUCUGAAAAAACUUAAUAGUUACAACUUUCAACAACGGAUCUCUUGGUUCUGGCAUCGAUGAAGAACGCAGCGAAAUGCGAUAAGUAGUGUGAAUUGCAGAAUUCAGUGAAUCAUCGAAUCUUUGAACGCACAUUGCGCCCCUUGGUAUUCCAUGGGGCAUGCCUGUUCGAGCGUCAUUUGUACCUUCAAGCUCUGCUUGGUGUUGGGUGUUUGUCUCCUGUAGACUCGCCUUAAAACAAUUGGCAGCCGGCGUAUUGAUUUCGGAGCGCAGUACAUCUCGCGCUUUGCACUCAUAACGACGACAUCCAAAAGUACAUUUUUACACUCUUGACCUCGGAUCAGGUAGGGAUACCCGCUGAACUUAAGCAUAUCAAUAA